Molecule: non-coding RNA, 168 nt
Filed under: uncultured Alistipes sp.
Lineage: Bacteria; Pseudomonadati; Bacteroidota; Bacteroidia; Bacteroidales; Rikenellaceae
Source: RNAcentral
UUUGAGGUGGCAUCAGUCACCAAGAAUGAAAAGGGAACAUCGGUGUAAAUCCGAGACUAUACCCGUAGCUGUGAGUUUCAUUAUGCUCCGUGCUUUCUUAAUGGUCACUGCCCGCAGGGUGGGAAGGCCGCAUGGAGGAAACAAGUCAGAAGACCUGCCUUUAUCUGU